GCGGCGGACGGGUGAGUAAUGCCUAGGARAUUGCCCUGAUGUGGGGGAUAACCAUUGGAAACGAUGGCUAAUACCGCAUGAUGCCUACGGGCCAAAGAGGGGGACCUUCGGGCCUCUCGCGUCAGGAUAUGCCUAGGUGGGAUUAGCUAGUUGGUGAGGUAAGGGCUCACCAAGGCGACGAUCCCUAGCUGGUCUGAGAGGAUGAUCAGCCACACUGGAACUGAGACACGGUCCAGACUCCUACGGGAGGCAGCAGUGGGGAAUAUUGCACAAUGGGCGCAAGCCUGAUGCAGCCAUGCCGCGUGUGUGAAGAAGGCCUUCGGGUUGUAAAGCACUUUCAGUCGUGAGGAAGGYRGUGUAGUUAAUAGCUGCAUYRUUUGACGUUAGCGACAGAAGAAGCACCGGCUAACUCCGUGCCAGCAGCCGCGGUAAUACGGAGGGUGCGAGCGUUAAUCGGAAUUACUGGGCGUAAAGCGCAUGCAGGUGGUUUGUUAAGUCAGAUGUGAAAGCCCGGGGCUCAACCUCGGAAUUGCAUUUGAAACUGGCAGACUAGAGUACUGUAGAGGGGGGUAGAAUUUCAGGUGUAGCGGUGAAAUGCGUAGAGAUCUGAAGGAAUACCGGUGGCGAAAGCGGCCCCCUGGACAGAUACUGACACUCAGAUGCG
RNAcentral lists this ribosomal RNA (664 nucleotides) under Vibrio parahaemolyticus. RNAcentral's name for it is "bacterial SSU rRNA". It matches the Rfam family "Bacterial small subunit ribosomal RNA", at positions 95 to 755 of the family's 1533-position model. The record is from RNAcentral. Lineage: Bacteria; Pseudomonadati; Pseudomonadota; Gammaproteobacteria; Vibrionales; Vibrionaceae.